Molecule: ribosomal RNA, 430 nt
Filed under: Verrucomicrobiota bacterium
Lineage: Bacteria; Pseudomonadati; Verrucomicrobiota
Description: Verrucomicrobia bacterium partial 16S ribosomal RNA
Rfam family: Bacterial small subunit ribosomal RNA
Source: RNAcentral
UAGGGAAUCUUCGGCAAUGGGGGGAACCCUGACCGAGCAACGCCGCGUGAGUGAAGAAGGUUUUCGGAUCGUAAAGCUCUGUUGUUAAGGAAGAACGAGUGUGAGAAUGGAAAGUUCAUGCUGUGACGGUACUUAACCAGAAAGGGACGGCUAACUACGUGCCAGCAGCCGCGGUAAUACGUAGGUCCCGAGCGUUGUCCGGAUUUAUUGGGCGUAAAGCGCGCGCAGGUGGUUUAGAAAGUCUGAUGUGAAAGCCCACGGCUCAACCGUGGAGGGUCAUUGGAAACUAAUAAACUUGAGUGCAGGAGAGAAAAGUGGAAUUCCUAGUGUAGCGGUGAAAUGCGUAGAGUUUAGGAGGAACACCGGUGGCGAAAGCGGCUUUUUGGCCUGCAACUGACACUGAGGCGCGAAAGCGUGGGGAGCAAACAGG